GAUGAAGAACGCGGCGAAAUGCGAUAAGUAAUGUGAAUUGCAGAAUUCAGUGAAUCAUCGAAUCUUUGAACGCACCUUGCGCUCCUUGGUAUUCCGAGGAGCAUGCCUGUUUGAGUGUCAUGAAAACCCUCAACCUUAGAUUGGUUAAAACCUUUCUUUGGCUUGGAUUUGGACGUUUGCCGAUGAUAAGUCGGCUCGUCUUAAAAGUAAUAGCUGGAUCUGUCUCGCGACAUGGUUUGACUUGGCGUAAUAAGUAUUUCGCUAAGGACAUCUUCGGAUGGCCGCGUUACAAGACUAAAGACCGCUUUCUAAUCCAUUGAUCUUCGGAUUAAUAUUCUUGACAUCUGGCCUCAAAUCAGGUAGGACUACCCGCUGAACUUAAGCAUAUCAAUAAGCGGAGG
RNAcentral lists this unclassified non-coding RNA (401 nucleotides) under soil metagenome. Its description in RNAcentral is "partial contains 5.8S ribosomal RNA, internal transcribed spacer 2, and large subunit ribosomal RNA". The stretch from base 1 to 120 matches the Rfam family "5.8S ribosomal RNA", at positions 35 to 154 of the family's 154-position model. The record is from RNAcentral.